GGGCGAUUAGCUCAGCGGUCAGAGCGCCUCCUUUACACGGAGGAUGUCGGGGGUUCGAUCCCCUCAUCGCCCACCA
This 76-nucleotide transfer RNA is filed under the name Planctomycetota bacterium. RNAcentral describes it as "tRNA-Val". It matches the Rfam family "tRNA". From Rfam's summary of the family: Transfer RNA (tRNA) molecules are approximately 80 nucleotides in length. The record is from RNAcentral. Lineage: Bacteria; Pseudomonadati; Planctomycetota.